This 69-nucleotide transfer RNA is filed under the name Sinotaia quadrata. Its description in RNAcentral is "tRNA-Thr". Lineage: Eukaryota; Metazoa; Mollusca; Gastropoda; Architaenioglossa; Viviparidae. The record is from RNAcentral.
ACAAUAAUAGUUUAAAUUUAAAAUGACGAUUUUGUAAAUUGAUGAGUGAAAAAUUAAUUUCUUAUUGUA